This 468-nucleotide ribosomal RNA is filed under the name uncultured bacterium. Its description in RNAcentral is "partial 16S ribosomal RNA". It matches the Rfam family "Bacterial small subunit ribosomal RNA", at positions 28 to 507 of the family's 1533-position model. The record is from RNAcentral.
GACGAACGCUGGCGGCGUGCUUAACACAUGCAAGUCGAACGGAAAGACCCUGCUUUUGUGGCGUGCUCGAGUGGCGAACGGGUGAGUAACACGUGAGUAUCCUGCCCUUGACUGUGGGAUAACUUCAGGAAAAUGGGGCUAAUAUCGGGUAUGAGCUCCUGCUGCAUGGUGGUGGUUGGUAAGUGUCGGCGGUUCGGGAUGGUCUCGCUGGUUAUCAGCUGGUUGGGGGGGUAGUGGCUUACAAAGGGUUGGACGGGUAGCCGGCCUGGGAGGGUGGCCGGCACCAUUGGGACUGGGGUAGGGCCCAGACGCCUACGGGCGGCAACGGUGGGGAAUAUUGCACAAUGGGCGGAAGCCUGAUGCGGCAACGCCGGGUGCGGAAUGCCGGCUUUCGGGUUGUAAACCGCUUUCGCAGGUGCCGAGGCGUGAGUGACGGUACUGGGUAAAGAAGCACCGGCUAACUACGUG